CGGGUGUGAGUAGAGUGGCGCACGGGUGAGUAAUACAUAGGAACGUACCUACGGGUGGGGGAUAACCAUUGGAAACGAUGGCUAAUACCGCAUAAUAUCGAGAGAUUAAAGGAGGCCUCUUCUUGAAAGCUUUCGCCGGUAGAUCGGCCUAUGUCCCAUUAGCUUGUUGGUGAGGUAAAGGCUCACCAAGGCGACGAUGGGUAGCUGGUCUGAGAGGAUGAUCAGCCACACUGGAACUGAGACACGGUCCAGACUCC
This 257-nucleotide ribosomal RNA is filed under the name uncultured bacterium. Its description in RNAcentral is "partial 16S ribosomal RNA". It matches the Rfam family "Bacterial small subunit ribosomal RNA", at positions 81 to 339 of the family's 1533-position model. The record is from RNAcentral.